Molecule: ribosomal RNA, 253 nt
Filed under: uncultured bacterium
Lineage: Bacteria
Description: partial 16S ribosomal RNA
Rfam family: Bacterial small subunit ribosomal RNA
Source: RNAcentral
UACGUAGGGAGCAAGCGUUGUCCGGAUUUACUGGGUGUAAAGGGUGCGUAGGCGGCUUUGCAAGUCAGAAGUGAAAUCCAUGGGCUUAACCCAUGAACUGCUUUUGAAACUGCAGAGCUUGAGUGGAGUAGAGGUAGGCGGAACUCCCGGUGUAGCGGUGAAAUGCGUAGAGAUCGGGAGGAACACCAGUGGCGAAGGCGGCCUGCUGGGCUCUAACUGACGCUGAGGCACGAAAGCGUGGGUAGCAAACAGG